Molecule: ribosomal RNA, 253 nt
Filed under: uncultured bacterium
Lineage: Bacteria
Description: partial 16S ribosomal RNA
Rfam family: Bacterial small subunit ribosomal RNA
Source: RNAcentral
UACGGAGGGUGCGAGCGUUAAUCGGAAUUACCGGGCGUAAAGCGCGCGUAGGCGGUUUGUUAAGUCAGCUGUGAAAGCCCCGGGCUCAACCUGGGAACUGCAGUUGAUACUGACCGACUAGAGUACGAGAGAGGGAGGUAGAAUUCCAUGUGUAGCGGUGAAAUGCGUAGAUAUAUGGAGGAAUACCAGUGGCGAAGGCGGCCUCCUGGCUCGAUACUGACGCUGAGGUGCGAAAGCGUGGGGAUCAAACAGG